ACAAAUUACAUCAACGCGUUGGGAGCUCUCCCAUAUGGUCGACCUGCAGGCGGCCGCGAAUUCACUAGUGAUUUCCUCCGCUUAUUGAUAUGCUUAAGUCCAGCGGGUAGUCCUACCUGAUUUGAGGUCAAGUUUCGAAAUAGACCCAAGACGUUCGUUGGCACUAGUAGUCAUAGGGACAUGUAGGAUUGGAAGCAAGGACGAUUCCUGCACGUCUCGACGCUCCAGCCACGACGAUCAUUAUCACGUCGAAGGCCGUGCACGUCAGACUUGCCACCCCUUUGCUAAUGCAUUUCAGGAGAGCUGACAGCUUUUCGCCGCCAGCAAACCCCCAACUCCAAGCCACGAGUCAAGACUCAUGGUUGAGAAUUCGAUGACACUCAAACAGGCAUGCUCCUCGGAAUACCAAGGAGCGCAAGGUGCGUUCAAAGAUUCGAUGAUUCACUGAAAAUCUGCAAUUCACAUUACUUAUCGCAAUUCGCUGCGUUCUUCAUCGAUGCGAGAGCCAAGAGAUCCGUUGCUGAAAGUUGUAUUCAUUUAUGGACCGCCAGCCUGCUGAACAGGUCUCGACGUUCUCGAUUACAUUCUAUAGACAUACGAUAGGUGUGAUAUGAAAAGACAUAGAUCCUCUUUCGAGGACCUACAACGGGUGCACAGGUGUGUAUGAGAGAAAGGUCGACGACGAGCAAGGAUUAGGAUUCCAGACGUGCACAUGCUUGAGCCAGCAACAGUCUCCCCCACUCGCCAUCUUCCCCCUCAGAAUUCGCUAAUGAUCCUUCCGCGGGUUCACCUACGGAAACCUUGUUACGACUUUUACUUCCAAUCGAAUUCCCGCGGCCGCCAUGGCGGCCGGGAGCAUGCGACGUCGGGCCCAAUUCGCCCUAUAGUAGUCGCGUAAUAUA
This 902-nucleotide unclassified non-coding RNA is filed under the name Boletaceae sp. 11 CG-2012. Its description in RNAcentral is "sequence contains ITS1, 5.8S rRNA gene, ITS2". Lineage: Eukaryota; Fungi; Basidiomycota; Agaricomycetes; Boletales; Boletaceae. The record is from RNAcentral.